Molecule: small nucleolar RNA, 141 nt
Filed under: Mus musculus (house mouse)
Lineage: Eukaryota; Metazoa; Chordata; Mammalia; Rodentia; Muridae
Description: Small nucleolar RNA SNORA48
Rfam family: Small nucleolar RNA SNORA48
About the family: The snoRNA ACA 48 has been identified to guide pseudouridylation of the residue U3797 in the 28S rRNA subunit.
Source: Rfam by way of RNAcentral
CACCACUGGCAAUGGGCAAAGAGAUACCUUGGUGGUGGUGUUCUUUUAUCAGUCAGGGGCAGAACAGAUGGCAGUCCUCUGUUUAUCCUAGUUUGAUGCCUGCCUUGAUGGCCAAAACUGUCUUAUGCCUAGGACUCAAUC